This is a long non-coding RNA of Leopardus geoffroyi (Geoffroy's cat), 5654 nucleotides long. RefSeq lists it as uncharacterized. NCBI's taxonomy places the organism in Eukaryota, Metazoa, Chordata, Mammalia, Carnivora, Felidae. The transcript is spliced from 2 exons. The record is from RefSeq and is a predicted model, not a curated record.
UAUGUUUUAAAUCCACUUCUGUUUAAAACACAGAUAUCAUCCAGGAGAAAAUCUGAGGGCAAAAAAAAAAAGGUGGGGGGAAGGAUUUUGGUUGCGCCUUAUUAGACUCAAAGUACUAAGUUAUUCUCUGGCGUAUGUAGCAAAAACACUAGGUGGGUGUUGUUUUUUGAGUUCAUAGUGAGGGGAGAAAUGGGGUCAUCACUCCUGCGGAGAGAAAGGUAAUCUCUGAUUUCAGUCUUUCAUUGGCCUGCGGCAGCCGGUGGGGUCUUCCGAAACAAAUUCUUUUUCUUCGUUACUCAGUAUAUUCCCCAUUUGGGCUUGAAGUGGGAAACCCGAAAGUUGAAAUGCUGUGACCACCUCUACACUGUCACAUGCCCUUGCUCUCCUCUGGUGAGGAAGUAGGGGAGACGUGGAAGAGGUGGCCUCAUCACUCACUUUGUUUGGAAGUGAGAAGCGGCGAGGGGAGGAUUGGAGGAAGAUGCGGGCGCUUGGGGCACCGCCGGCCUGCGACGCCCUGGCCAUUCCUCUUCCCUGGCACUCACAGGCAGCUUUGCGAGGCAGGAGUACGUGAGGGGGAAGAUCCUAUUAGCAGAGGAGCUGCAGGAACCGAAGAGAUGCCGAAGGGAGCCAGGUGACUGACAGGUAGAUGAAAUCCAACAUCCUUUCCGCUCAAAGUUUUAAGAAGAGAAGUGGCCACGAGUAAGCUUGAGUUCUGUCCCCUUCCUGAUACUUGCUCCUCCUCAGACCCAGGUGAGGACGAUCUACUACACGUAAGCAAGCAGAUGUGGGGAAAAGAGCAAAACCCACUGAGCUGUGAGAUCCCUAAGACCCUCCCCCCCACCCCCAGGCCUUGGAUGUUGGGGGUUGACAGCGGCUUCCUGUGCACUGUACCAUGGAGACCACAGGUGACGGAGGCAGUGGCCCAGCUUAUGCUCUGGGCGUGCAGAGAAGGGAAGCUCCGCCUCCUCUGUUCGCAUCCUCCUUGUUGGAUGCUGGGGUAGCCUCUGCCCCUCUUACAGGACAACUCUAGGUCUCCGUGUGAUCCUGGCCCAGCCUGAAGCCUGAGGCUUCUGAACACAACCAUCCUAGUGCUGGCCUUCCUUGCAUGACGCCCAGGAAUCCCUAGUGGGAAAAGCCAUGCCUCACCACUGUCAACCUAAUGAUAGACCAAGACCCCUCCUCCCUCCACCUGCCCUCCUAAUAAUCUUAAGAUUUAGGGGAAACUAAAAUAGACCUUCCUCUAGACCGACACCGCCGUUUCACAUACAAAUGUAGCUCUCUUUCACCCUGGAAAAAGACAGCCUUUUCGACUCCUCUGCACCUCCUGGAUGGUCCAGCAGAUUUGCACGAGACCCAGAGUGACACUGACGUGCUUUAACUGAUGAGCGACGUCAAGUCUGUUUGUCUCUGCCGUUAGAGACUGAUUUGACCCGCUACCUGUAGGAGCUCUAGUUUCUGAAAAUGUGGCAAGGCUUUGUAGGGGUCGACCCCAACCAAUGCUUUCCCACUUCACAAUUUGAGUAAUGAGCUGGAUACUCCUCACGUUUUACUUUUGGUUCUUUGUCAAAUAAGGUAGUAACAGAGUCCCUAACUGUAACAUAGGGAGCAGUCGCUACAUGUGAACUUCGUGGCUCUAAAAUCUUGAGAUACCGCUUCCUUACCUCCUUCCUGGUCAAUGAGUGUUUAGAUUUUUAAUGACAUUUCAAAGUCAAUCUCCAAACACUUUAGAGGUCAAUCCUAGCAGAGACGAACUUUAAACUGGUGGGAGGAGGGUGCAGAGCAAUCCCUCUGGGAGUCAGAAUGAGAUACUUGUGUGUCUGGACUGGUAGCAGGGUUUUAUGUUACCAGAGUGAUCUCCAUGGUAACAGAUCAACAUGGUGCCAGUGACAGCUUUACACUCCAGGCUUUAGGUUCCCAUGAGAAAGUGGAUUCUUAACAACACAUAGGGGAGCAGAAAUGAAGGAAUAUGGAUGUACGCUCCCCUUUCUUGUAAAGUUCUGGUCAUGAAGUUUCUGUUCAUACCACCAAUGACACGUCCUGUUUAGCCCCCUGGGUUCCUCUGUCAACCAAGACUCUUCAGAGGAUGUGCAAUGUGCUCUUGAAUUUCAACUGAACUCAUACCAGGUUUAAAUAGGCUUUGGUAGCAAAGAACUGUAUUGGAGUGGAACAAGAAUGAGACUUGGAGUCAGGAAACCUGGCAUUCAGACCCAGCUUUUGUACUGUCUUGAAGGUCCUUACUUUCCACAUUCUUAGAUUCUCACCAGUUAUGAUAGUCAAUCAUCCAGUUAUAUGGAAAGCCCCUGGUGUGAUUCAUUGGAGGUAAAAAUGGUAGCCAGUUAAAUAGAGGACAGUCUGCCAUCCCCAUCCCCAUCAAAGGUAUGAUCCUGUUGUGAUCGUGUGGAUGCAAACGUUCAGACACCUAAAAAGUAGAAGUACUUCUGAAUAUUCCAAGAGUUACAUCCAAUGGUUCCCAAGCCCAGCUGCACCGCAGAUUCACUUGAUGAUCUUUUAAAAAAGAUUACACUUCCCACCUCAGACCCCCUUCAUCAGAGUCUUCAGGGCUGGGUUCCAAGUACCUAACAAAACACAGCUCCAAUUUUCUGGGGAAGAGAUAAGCGAGACAUUUCGAGAACCACUCUGAGGAGGGUGUUGUCACAUCACUGAUGGAAAUUAUGUGGAUGAUGGUUGAAGAAGACUGCAAAGGAGCCAGCUCUGGGAGCUGAGACUAAAGGCAAAGUAGAUAUACACAGCAAAUAAAUAAAUAAGUAUACACACAAGCAUACCCAGAGCUGGAAACCAAGUCAUUAUACCUGGCCGUCGUUCUGUACAGAACAUUUAGGCAGUAAAGUCACCCUCUUUCUUUACGCUGUUUUGCUCUUUUCUUUAGAUCAGAUUUUACCUGGAUAGAAGAAUUAUCAAAAGAGGUUCAGGUGGAUGGAUGUGCAUUUCUUCCUGCUCUCCCAGUGGUAGACGUUUGUGAAGCAUUGGCCAGAGUCAGCUAAGCAUUUACUUUAGACGAGAUCUGCACUCCUAAAGGGGACUCAUGCAGUCUUCAUAUGGAUUACAUUUAAAUUAAUCCUUGUUCAGACUCAGGUCUCAUCUGCUAGUAGGGUUCAAUUUUCAUUCAUCUACUGUAAAACCAAACAACCCUUAUUUGUGGCUAAGGGAGAGAGGAAAGAGAGGAAAUAAAAAAAGCAUUACAUUUUAUUUCCAUGUAAGUGACUCAGAAGGCUCUAAAUGGUUACUUUAUUUGAGAAUUAAUAGCAACCCUUUGUUUAACUGAAACAGUUGGUGUUAGAAGAAUAAUUUAUAGAAUAAUAGAAUUAUAGAUUAUAUAACUAUAUAAUAAUUCAUAGAAAUCGCAGUUAGGGGCUGGGGAGGAGGGGUGGGUGACAAAAAAAAAUACCAUAUCGCAGAGUGACCAGAUUCAUAUCCACUAAUGUUUUACAUUAUCCAAAUUUUAAUGCUUGAUUUUAAGGAAUAUUCCCUUAUCAUUUAUAAAACAUUUAUCUUGAGAUUCUCUCCAUACUUGGUGUUGGAACAAUGGAGAAUGGGCUUUCCGUUGGGAAAAUAACAAUAGCUAGCCCUUACUGCAUGCUAACUGCGUGCCAGGCACUGUCCUAAGCACUUUUCCAUCUGCUAGCUAAUUUAAUCCUCAUCAGGGCCCUGGAGAAGGUUCUGUUAAGAUAAACGAAGUGAGGGGCGCCUGGGUGGCUCAGUCGGUUAAGUGUCUGACUUCGGCUCGGGUCAUGAUCUCGAGGUUCAUGGGCUUGCGCCCCCGUGGGGCUCUGUGCUGACAGCUCGGAGCCGGGCGCCUGCUUGGGAUUCUGUAUCUCCGUCUCUCUCUGCCCCUUCCCCGCUUGUGCUUUGUCUCUCUCUCUCUCGAAAAUAAAUAAACGUUAAAAAAAAUUAAAAGCAAAAAAAAAAAAAAAGAUAAAUGAAGCGAACGCAUGAGAGGCUUACUUGCUGGUAAGUGAGUGGUGUAGCCCUCCUAUUUGCCUAGCUGCUUUGCUCGUACAGCUUUGGGUUGCUCACCACAGGUGCCUGGCCCAGAGGACGUUAUGUUCUGGACUGGGCUGGCCAGGGCUGUAGAAGGUGUUUUAGACAUAAGCCAAAGGAAGCUAAUACAGGCCUCCUCUUCCUUCCACAUGCUGUCUCAAUUCCAGACCAACAGUAACUCUCUUAAGGGACUAUUAGGUGAGGCGAGGCUCCGAGAACUCCGGUAAAUUACUCAAGCUCACACAAAUGGACAGUGCCAGUCAGAAUUCAAUCCAAAUUAGAUUCCAAAGCCAGUGGAAUACCCCCUUCUUCUCUUAAUAUUACCUUUUGCUCUAUGUCGCCUCUCAGGAGGUGGGAAAUAAAGCCAGGGAUGAGUGGGUACCUCUACUCACAGUUACUUUGUGUAGCACUGUGUGACCCUUCGGUCUGUUUUCCAGGCAUAAGCCUGGCUGAAUGGCAAAUAAAGCCCAGGCAGAACGGCAGCCUUCCCCAUUUAUGCCUGGAAGAUAUAACGCUCUUUUUGCAUUGGCACCAGAGAACUGUGCCCACCAGCUCUGAUUCUUUUCUUCUCCCUUCACUCCCCCCCCCCCACAACUUCAUCAAGAAGAUAUGAAUGCUGAGAUCAUCUCAGAGAAAUCUAGAAUAAAUACCAUGAGAAAAUGGUCCCCCUGGAAGGCAUCUUGUUCUCCUGCUGUUUGUAAUUGUGAAGAGCUCAGCAACUGGGCAGCUGGAUGGGUAUAAAUAUAGCCCAGAGCACUGACGCCCGCUGAAUCCUGCUUUCUUAGAAGCACAAUGGGAACCCACGGAAAUCAGGGAAAGAGCAGUAAAGCCCAGUCAAUCAAUCAGCCUCCCUCCCUCCCCUCUCCCUUUCUCACUCCCUCUCUCCAUCCUUAACCUCAGUGUGGGUGUGAGGAUAGAAGCAGCUUUUAAGAGUGCACUUAAAAUAGUUCUUGGAACUGGACGCUGGCUAAACUCAAAGACAGGGAAGAUGCUACCUCCCAAACCGGCCCCUGUCUGACCUGUAAGCCCAGGACUAGUUUGACCAUUCUGGUGGGAAAUCUCAGGAGCCCGUGCAUCCUCAGCCCAGCUGCUUGGGUACAAGCAACGUUUCUAGCGUGAGCUCCAGGCAUUUGGUGCCUCCAUAUUCAGAUAUCUUAUUCUAACCAGACUCAGCUGCCUAAUGCCCGGGGAUUAAAAAUAGCCUCCCAGUGCUAGCUAUGGAAUUGAAGGAGAAAUACUCAGGGAGUAGAGAGGUCAGCUUUACUCCGGGCCCCCGAUUCUCAUACCCGUGGGUUUCAUUGCAUCUAAGCGUUUAAUCCCUUCAGGUUAUUUUAGUCUUGUGCUAUACCAUUGCCUAUUUUGUAUGGCUGUUUAAGAUAAAACGGUCAUCCCAGGUUUGUGGGCAUUGGUGUCAUUAGGAGUCUGGAUUUUGGCAGGAGAAAGCCAUUAUUUUGCUUGGUGGUUCCCGGAAACAAAUUGUGUCUAGUUAUCUUUCCAUGCAGACGUCAAUGGUAUUUGCUAUCGAUGCAUACAUUUAUUGGUUUUUUUCUUUCCCAUUUGGCAGCGAAUACUUCACAGAAAAGAAUCAUGUCCUCUACUUUCAGUGUAACUGUCCACAAAGCUUAAUAAGUGGUCUUACACGACUUGCUGUGUUU